UACGUAGGUGGCAAGCGUUGUCCGGAAUUAUUGGGCGUAAAGCGCGCGCAGGUGGUUUAAUAAGUCUGAUGUAAAAGCCCACGGCUCAACCGUGGAAGGGCAUUGGAAACUGUUAAACUUGAGUGCAGGAGAGAAAAGUGGAAUUCCUAGUGUAGCGGUGAAAUGCGUAGAGAUUAGGGGGAACACCAGUGGCGAAGGCGGCUUUUUGGCCAGCAACUGACGCUGAGGCGCGAAAGCGUGGGUAGCAAACAGG
Molecule: ribosomal RNA, 253 nt
Filed under: uncultured bacterium
Lineage: Bacteria
Description: partial 16S ribosomal RNA
Rfam family: Bacterial small subunit ribosomal RNA
Source: RNAcentral